AUGGGGAUUCGUCUGCAAGAAAUAGUUGUUCACGCCAAGCACAUUAUGCAGCUGCGCCGGCAUGCCGCGACGUCGUCGAAGAACCAAAUAAGGUGCAGCAGUACUGCUAGUAGUAACGUUGAUGAUGUGCCGAAAGGUCACUUCGCAAUUUAUGUCGGGGUAGAAGAAGAGAAGAAGGAGCGGUUUGUGGUUCCUAUUUCAUACCUGAAGCAACCAAUCUUCCAAGACUUGCUGCUCAAGGCUGCCGAAGAUGGAAGCUACGGCGGUGGUGGAGAUGAUGUUGGAGUUCAAGAUUACAAUGGGAGCCAACCUGGUCAUAUGAGCCCAUUCACUUGUGAGCCAAACUUCACACAUGCAACACAAGAUGGUGAUCAUGGAAGUAGGAGAGCAGGUUCUGGUAUUGGAGCUAUAGGAAAACAUUAUACACCAAGAGAAAGAGGCCAAGGAAGAAUGCCAACGCAUGAAUAUGAUUUUUUAUCCACUUUUGACUCAUCUAGUGUGGGAGGAGGCAAUGAUGGACCAUACACUUAUGGCCAAAAUCUGACAAUGCCUUAUUCAACUUAUUUCAUGCCUUACGGGGUGCAAUCAACUAAAUCAAGUGAUACGGCAUGGUCACAGUCUGAUGUACAAUCUUCCAAUGAUUAUGGUUAUGGUCAAGGUCAAGCGCUGCCCAAUCCUUACAACUUCCAAUACGGAAAUCCACAGUCAAUCCCUCUUGACCCUUAUGGUUGGCAUAUAGGCGUGGUGUUGGAUGGGCAGAAGGGACUAAAAUUUCAGCCCCUAAGCCUCAAAUCCAACAAAAGUAACGAGUGUGAGUAUUAUCAGAUCAGGUGUUCACCAACUUCUGCAUUUGCCAUGACUCCUAGUAAAAUGCAAAUUGCUAAUGCUUUUAAAGCGGCAAAGGCAUUGGGAAUUUGUACUGACGAAAUCAGACCUGUCAUCAGACACUUGUACAAAGUUUUUCCCAAGAACUGGGAGCAUGUUGAGGCAGACAACUACAGGGUUCUAUUUGAUACGUACUUUGAAAUGAAGGAGAACAAGGGAGAAGCAGAAAACAGAGAUGAAAGACCAAGUAAAACAGUGCAUUUGACUGAGGAAGACCAGGUCUCUACAAGAACUGGAUCAAGUCUUGAACUGCUCCUCAAACAUUCCACUCACAGUGGUAAUGUCCAGUUGCCCCGUAAGGUGGCCUCUGGAAAUGGAAGAUUACAUCCUGAAAGAGCAUCAGCAGUCUCGCUUACUAGUCACACAAACUACUUCAAGAAGCCAAAGGAUGAGGUAUCCACAUAUGAUGUUGUAGUUUCUGCAGAACAAACCUCAAUGAGACGUCCAGGACCAAUGAGUGGAGCUGGUAGAAUACAGCGACCUAUGACAGACUUAAAUGGUGCAUCUGUUAAUCAUGAGGACAAGAAGCCAAUCAUUUAUAUAUCAGACAUAACCAAAUCAACUGAAAAAGUGCCUAUAUCCUUAGUAGAUGAUGCUGGAAAGGAGAGCUUGCCAAAGUUCAAUUACAUUCCACAAAACAUCAUAUCCCAAAAUGCCAAUCUGGAUAUUUCACUGUCUUGCAUCGCGGACGAGGAUUGCUGCCCAGGUUGUUCUGGAGAUUGUCUGUCAGCGGCAUUUCCUUGUGCGUGUGCUCAUGAAACUGGUGGGGAGUUUGUGUACACACCAGAAGGGCUACUAAAAGAAGAAUUUCUAAGUAACAGUAUUUCUCAGGUGAGCGAACCGGAGAAGCAACCUCGUGUUUAUUGUCAAGACUGUCUUAAGAAUGAAGACAUGCCUGAAGAAUGCAAAGGACACAUGGUCCGGAGUUUUAUUAAAGAAUGCUGGAGAAAAUGUGGAUGUGACAUGCAGUGUGGAAAUCGUGUCGUACAAAGGGGGAUAACGUGCGAGUUGCAGGUUUUCUGGACUCCUCAAGGAAAAGGCUGGGGAGUUAGAACCUUAGAGGUCUUAGAGAAAGGAUCAUUUGUCUGUGAAUAUGUCGGGGAGAUAUUGACUAACAAUGAGUUAUAUGAGCGGAAUAUGGAAAGUACUGGUAGUGAGAGACAUACAUACCCCGUGAUACUAGAUGCAGAUUGGGGGUCAGAACAAAUUUUGAGGGAUGAUGAUGCUCUGUCUGGAUGCGACGCUUCACGGCAAUGUUGCAAGGUUCAUCAAUCAUAGAUGCUUUGACGCAAACUUGGUUGAUAUCCCAGUUCAAGUGGAGACUCCCGACCGCCAUUAUUAUCAUCUUGCCUUCUUUACUACCAGGAAAGUAAAUGCCUUAGAAGAGUUGACUUGGGGAAAAGGCAGCGACUCUUGAAUGACUUGUGGCUUCCUUUAGUUUGCUUUAAUUUUGGAAGUCCCUCAGUGGCUGAUGCUACCCUUGUUGCCGAACUACAGAAUUUGGUACGGGUGGUGUUUUCAAUUUUUUUUCAGAUAAGAUUAGAAUGCUAGAGAGCUAGAGAAAAUUAGACAUUUUGUAAAGUUGUAUAUGGGUACUGUUCUUU
RNA transcript from Fragaria vesca subsp. vesca, 2489 nucleotides. RefSeq lists it as uncharacterized. The record is from RefSeq and is a predicted model, not a curated record. The transcript is spliced from 10 exons. NCBI's taxonomy places the organism in Eukaryota, Viridiplantae, Streptophyta, Magnoliopsida, Rosales, Rosaceae.